This 351-nucleotide ribosomal RNA is filed under the name uncultured Oscillospiraceae bacterium. Its description in RNAcentral is "bacterial SSU rRNA". It matches the Rfam family "Bacterial small subunit ribosomal RNA", at positions 355 to 720 of the family's 1533-position model. Lineage: Bacteria; Bacillati; Bacillota; Clostridia; Eubacteriales; Oscillospiraceae. The record is from RNAcentral.
UGGGGAAUAUUGGGCAAUGGGGGAAACCCUGACCCAGCAACGCCGCGUGAAGGAAGAAGGCUUUCGGGUUGUAAACUUCUUUUACCAGGGACGAAGGACGUGACGGUACCUGGAGAAAAAGCCACGGCUAACUACGUGCCAGCAGCCGCGGUAAUACGUAGGUGGCAAGCGUUGUCCGGAUUUACUGGGUGUAAAGGGCGUGUAGGCGGAGCAGCAAGUCAGAAGUGAAAUCCAUGGGCUUAACCCAUGAACUGCUUUUGAAACUGUUGCCCUUGAGUAUCGGAGAGGCAGGCGGAAUUCCUAGUGUAGCGGUGAAAUGCGUAGAUAUUAGGAGGAACACCAGUGGCGAAG